This is a long non-coding RNA of Magallana angulata, 1022 nucleotides long. RefSeq lists it as uncharacterized. The record is from RefSeq and is a predicted model, not a curated record. The transcript is spliced from 2 exons. Lineage: Eukaryota; Metazoa; Mollusca; Bivalvia; Ostreida; Ostreidae.
AGGGCUGGCCCCUAUAAUUAGGGGUCAGCAGCUCAUACACGUAUUUUUCUGAUAGCAAAAAUCGUUAUCAUUUUAUGAAAAAAAAUUAAUUCAGUUAUUGUUAAUAUAUUAAAUCAUGUCAUUUGGUAUCAAAUUAAACAAGUUCUGUGCUAUAUUUUUUUUUAAAUUUCAUAAAACAAAUAUGUGAGAAUCGUACAUGAACGAGUUAAUAUGUCUAUAUAGACACACAAGCGAACAAAUGCCACAUUAAGGCCCAGGCAUUUACUGCAUUACGUUGUGUUGCGUCUUAGAUAAAUUGUUGUGAUUCAAUUUCAUUUUUUUUCAUCUAUAUCAUUUAUGAAUUCAAUGAACACACAUUAUUUAAACGUUCUAUGUGCAACUAUUUGUCGGGGCGCCCCUGUUUGUAACCCCCGCGCGCGCGCCGAAUGUAAACAGUAACGAACGGCAUUGUAGAAAAGAGAGAGCCGUAAUGCAGAAGAGAAGUUGUGUAUUCUUUCGGUGUACACAUGCAUUUUCAAUUUGCUGUGAAACAUAUGAACAUGCACAGGGAACAAUACUAGGCCUACAUAUUUGUUUAAGGAGGAUAUUUUUCAAGUGUGAAUCGUUUACGAGGAAAUUCUGACAGCCACACUUCUGUCGACGAUCAGCCGUUAAUAAGCUACGAGUAAUAAAGGAGAAAAGAUGGACAUUAAAGUGUGUGAUUUAUGUGGAUGUUACUGAAGAAGCUCAAAACAGACUCUUGUUACCACAUGGCUUUUACCGGUACCUGUUGAUUCUUGUGGGUCAGCUCCUGAGAUUAACCUGUCACCUCUAUCCACAUGCAUAUUCCUUGUGUUCUACAGACUAUUUACCGGUAAUUCAAAUUAAAUCCGAUAAUGCAUGAACAAUAAUGGAACUUGAAGAAAGCAUCAUGCCAUGUUGUGGUUUGUGUUUGAUAAGAAAUUAUGAAAACAAAAUUAAGGCUGUUUAAAGAAAUUCAUAAUUGCUGUGAAAAUUUGUUUUUCAAUAAAAGUAUACAAUUA